This 253-nucleotide ribosomal RNA is filed under the name uncultured bacterium. RNAcentral describes it as "partial 16S ribosomal RNA". It matches the Rfam family "Bacterial small subunit ribosomal RNA", at positions 524 to 776 of the family's 1533-position model. The record is from RNAcentral.
UACGGGGGGGGCAAGCGUUGUUCGGAAUUACUGGGCGUAAAGGGCGCGUAGGCGGCCUGCUAAGUCGGAUGUGAAAUCCCUCGGCUCAACCGAGGAACUGCAUCCGAUACUGGCGGGCUUGAAUCCGGGAGAGGGAUGUGGAAUUCCAGGUGUAGCAGUGAAAUGCGUAGAUAUCUGGAGGAACACCGGUGGCGAAGGCGGCAUCCUGGACCGGUAUUGACGCUGAGGCGCGAAAGCUAGGGGAGCAAACGGG